AAACCCGCAUCGUGGGGAAAAGGCUCCAUGUAAUACAAGUUCCUACUCUUGCCUUCUUGCAGUCAGAAUGUAGGCUGAGGAAGGGAAGCGCUCCCCAGGCCGGGCUUUGGCUCGGCUGAAGAAUCACCUUCCUGGUUAUUAGCCUACCUGGUGAGUGGGAUCUGGCGGAGGUGCCAAAAACUGGAUUCAACUGGCAGGGACGGCGUUGAGGGUGCUUCCUGCCCCCAGCUGCAGGGCCUCUGGGCUCCCAGAAGGAACUACUCAGUGGUGGUGACGCUGCUGCUGCCUGUGGGGGACGAGCCCCUGGACGUGACCUGGGUGACCAGCUACCUGGUGGAGGAGAAGCUGCCGUGGCCGCUCUGAGAGCUGUGUGGGGCCAACGUGCUGGCCGAGUUCUACCGGCUCGAAUGCCACCUGCCGCAGGGUCCCUGGGAGUGUAUGAGACCUCAGCGCCCAGUGCGGCAGCGUCCUGCUGGCCCAAGACUUGGCUCACAACACAUUCUCCCUGAUGCUGAGUCGGACAGGCUCGGGGCUCACGGCCCUGACCAUGGAGCUGAAUCAUAUGACCCUCAUCUUCUACCCAGCCUGCAGGCUGUACAACUCCUCCCUGCUGGGGGAGAGCUGUCCAGACCUCCAGCUGCCUCCUGCCCUGACAAGGAGGUACGUCUCCAGGAUUGA
Molecule: long non-coding RNA, 678 nt
Filed under: Aotus nancymaae (Ma's night monkey)
Lineage: Eukaryota; Metazoa; Chordata; Mammalia; Primates; Aotidae
Description: lncRNA (ENSANAG00000039301.1)
Source: RNAcentral